CGGCGGCCGUAACUAUAACGGUCCUAAGGUAGCGAAAUUCCUUGUCGGGUAAGUUCCGACCUGCACGAAUGGUGUAACGAUCUGGGUACUGUCUCAACCGCGAGCUCGGUGAAAUUGUAGUAUCGGUGAAGAUGCCGAUUACCCGCAACGGGACGAAAAGACCCCGUGAACCUUUACUAUAGCUUUGCAUUGGAUUUGGGUAACAAAUGUGUAGGAUAGGCCGGAGACUAAGAAGCGGGUACGCCAGUAUUCGUGGAGUCGCCGUUGAAAUACGGCCCUUUUGUUAUUUGGGUUCUAACUCGCGGAUGCGAGGACAUUGCAUGGUGGGUAGUUUGACUGGGGUGGUCGCCUCCAAAAGUGUAACGGAGGCUUCUAAAGGUACCCUCAGACCGAUUGGUAACCGGUCGUAGAGUGUAAUGGCACAAGGGUGCUUGACUGGGAGACUAACAAGUCGCACAGGUAGGAAACUAGAGCAGAGUGAUCCGGUGGUUCCGUAUGGAAGGGC
Molecule: ribosomal RNA, 505 nt
Filed under: Porphyromonadaceae bacterium
Lineage: Bacteria; Pseudomonadati; Bacteroidota; Bacteroidia; Bacteroidales; Porphyromonadaceae
Description: partial 23S ribosomal RNA
Rfam family: Bacterial large subunit ribosomal RNA
Source: RNAcentral